Molecule: transfer RNA, 72 nt
Filed under: Marmota marmota marmota (Alpine marmot)
Lineage: Eukaryota; Metazoa; Chordata; Mammalia; Rodentia; Sciuridae
Also listed under: 1 other name
Rfam family: tRNA
About the family: Transfer RNA (tRNA) molecules are approximately 80 nucleotides in length. Their secondary structure includes four short double-helical elements and three loops (D, anti-codon, and T loops). Further hydrogen bonds mediate the characteristic L-shaped molecular structure. tRNAs have two regions of fundamental functional importance: the anti-codon, which is responsible for specific mRNA codon recognition, and the 3' end, to which the tRNAs corresponding amino acid is attached (by aminoacyl-tRNA synthetases). tRNAs cope with the degeneracy of the genetic code in two manners: having more than one tRNA (with a specific anti-codon) for a particular amino acid; and 'wobble' base-pairing, i.e. permitting non-standard base-pairing at the 3rd anti-codon position.
Source: Rfam by way of RNAcentral
UAUGGUGUAGCUCAGUGGCAGAGCACUUGCCUAGCACGUGUUAGGUACUGGGUUUAAUCCUCAGCACCACAU